GUGCCCGUAGCGCAGCUUGGAUAGCGCGUCGGUUUCCUAAACCGUAGGUCGCAGGUUCAAAUCCUGCCGGGCACG
This 75-nucleotide transfer RNA is filed under the name Nanobdellati archaeon. RNAcentral describes it as "tRNA-Arg". It matches the Rfam family "tRNA". Rfam says of the family: Transfer RNA (tRNA) molecules are approximately 80 nucleotides in length. Lineage: Archaea; Nanobdellati. The record is from RNAcentral.